RNAcentral lists this ribosomal RNA (347 nucleotides) under Pseudo-nitzschia galaxiae. RNAcentral describes it as "LSU rRNA". It matches the Rfam family "Eukaryotic large subunit ribosomal RNA", at positions 185 to 544 of the family's 3401-position model. The record is from RNAcentral. Lineage: Eukaryota; Bacillariophyta; Bacillariophyceae; Bacillariales; Bacillariaceae.
GUUCCUUGGAAAAGGACAGCUGAGAGGGUGACACUCCCGUCCGCCUGGUGGAGUGAGUCUUUGUCAACGAGUCGAGUUGUUUGGGAUUGCAGCUCUAAUUUGGUGGUAAAUUCCAUCUAAAGCUAAAUAUUGGUGGGAGACCGAUAGCGUACAAGUACCGUGAGGGAAAGAUGCAAAGAACUUUGAAAAGAGAGUUAAAGAGUACCUGAAAUUGCUGAAACGGAAGCGAAGGAAACCAGUGUUUGUUGGUUCAUAUUUCCCUUGUCACUUGUGAUGUGGGCGCUGUGAGCUUGCGUGGGUUUGCUUUGGUUGAUUCCUUUGGAAGAGCGCAGUCAGAGUUGAUGUCU